GGAAAAUUAUUUUUCCUCCCCUACAGUUUGACAACUCAUAAUGGGACCUGCUGAGACAACAUUCUCACUCUGGAACCUGCAGAUAGAAUCCUGGAAAACUGGCAGAAGCCGGCAAAGGAAAUUAUUGUUUUGCUUUUGCAAAAGUGUUUCCACAAAAGUGCAUCAUCUUCAGGGAGAUUUAUGGAAUGGUUUCUGAAAAGUACAGGUUUCUGAUAAUUAUCAGAUCAAACCAUUGAACUGGGUAAGAAUUAAACAGGAAAAUUCUAAGGAAAUACUGGAUUCACAAAACUGCUAACACAAGAUCAAGACCAACAAGACUUUAUUACAUGGGACUGAAGGAACUGAUGAGGGACACAAUUGGAAACGCUGGUUAUAUUAUCAAGACUUUGACUGGAAUGUCAUAUUUGAGAAUGUGCAUAGAAUCAGAUAUGACCAGUUUUAAGGAACCAAGGCUGACUUUAAAGCCAAUGAAUCCCCUUGGAGAGACCAUCUGGUGUCUUGCAGCCUCACCAGGUUCACAGGUACAAGGGUCACUUCCUGACAGGUGCAGGAUAUACUGAGACCUUGAGAAGAGAGGAAAUAAUCCCAUUGUUUUGGUAUUGCAGACAAAGUCUGAGGGCAAGACCUUGGCUUCCGAGCCUCUGAGAGGCUUUUAAAUAGUCCAACCUGAGACUCCUUAAGAAAAGUUCUGACAAAGAGGUUUAAGAGACUGUAUAUAUAGUCAAUCACUGUUCUUGCUGCAAUUAUGUGAAUAAUCAGGCCAAUUUUAUUGAGACUAGAUUUAUUUUGCAAACAAAUGAGUUUUACUGUAAUUAUCUUUGGUAAAAAUGGGGUGAUUAUAGAGAAAAAAAGGUUCCUUUAGUAGAACCUAUACUGCACCUUGUGGAUAUCUGAUUCUAGACCUGUUGAUUGGUCAGAUUUCGUUAUCUAGCUGUAAACUGGACUGGAUCCUGAAUUGUAGUUUCUUCAAAUAAUCUGGCUACAACUCUUCAAACUAACAUUUCCAAUUAUUUUCCCCACUCUUUUGACUUGGAGUCACUAAGAACAAAUUGUAUGAAAUCCCUAGAAAUCUGAUGUAACCUGGUCUAAUGUUAUCAUUUGUAAUUCUAGCUAUUAUCUUAAAGUGGAUUUUACAGAAAUAACCCAAUUUCCUUGCUGAUUGUACUGUAAUGAAUUCUAAUCAGAUCUUUAACCAUGGCCAUUUUAAGUUUUUUGUCAUUUACAGAAAUUAUUGUUUUGCUUUUGCAAAAGUGUUUCCCAAAGUCCUGCAAACUGAAUGUGAACAACUUGGUAUAAAUUUCAGUGAAAUGGCCACAAUAGCUCCUGUU
Rhinolophus ferrumequinum (greater horseshoe bat) is the source of this 1328-nucleotide long non-coding RNA. RefSeq lists it as uncharacterized. NCBI's taxonomy places the organism in Eukaryota, Metazoa, Chordata, Mammalia, Chiroptera, Rhinolophidae. The record is from RefSeq and is a predicted model, not a curated record. The transcript has 3 exons.